This 481-nucleotide ribosomal RNA is filed under the name uncultured Actinomycetales bacterium. RNAcentral's name for it is "bacterial SSU rRNA". It matches the Rfam family "Bacterial small subunit ribosomal RNA", at positions 28 to 523 of the family's 1533-position model. The record is from RNAcentral. Lineage: Bacteria; Bacillati; Actinomycetota; Actinomycetes; Actinomycetales.
GAUGAACGCUGGCGGCGUGCUUAACACAUGCAAGUCGAACGGAAAGGCCUCUGCUUGCAGGGGUACUCGAGUGGCGAACGGGUGAGUAACACGUGGGUGAUCUGCCCUGCACUUCGGGAUAAGCCUGGGAAACUGGGUCUAAUACCGGAUAGGACCACAUUUUGGAUGGUGUGGUGGAAAGUUUUUCGGUGUGGGAUGAGCUCGCGGCCUAUCAGCUUGUUGGUGGGGUAAUGGCCUACCAAGGCGUCGACGGGUAGCCGGCCUGAGAGGGUGUACGGCCACAUUGGGACUGAGAUACGGCCCAGACUCCUACGGGAGGCAGCAGUGGGGAAUAUUGCACAAUGGGCGCAAGCCUGAUGCAGCGACGCCGCGUGGGGGAUGACGGCCUUCGGGUUGUAAACUCCUUUCGCUAGGGACGAAGCGCAAGUGACGGUACCUGGAGAAGAAGCACCGGCUAACUACGUGCCAGCCGCCGCGGUAA